GAAGGCCGCGGCCAGGUCCUCUUCCCCCUCGCGGUCCGGGAUCUCGGACUCGGGGGCCGUGUUGCUGCGGCCGGAGCCAAAAUGAAACCGAAGCCGAUGGGCCAUGGUGCCCGGGGGGGCGGGGAGGCGGCGGGCGAGUGGCAAGCGGGGGCCCGGCGCUGCCAGAAGUCAAAAACCGAAGACGCAAACUCCAAGAAAAAGCGUCCCAUCUGCCAAACCGUGAGCACUGCGGCCCCGAGCGCGACAGAUAGCAGAAAUAACCCAAGUGGCGAGCGGCAUUCCAGGCAUGAUUGGAUAAGAGCAAGAAGCCCUCAUCCGCCCUGGGGCAGAGGCAAGAGCCUGAAACAGCACCUUCCCAGCUGCUGCUUUUCCAUCAGACAGGAGUGGCCCCAGCAGGCAGCUCUCACAGCUGACGAAGGCAGCAAACGCAGUCCAAGCCCUGCUGCUAUAAAUCUAAAACCGCGUCGAAUCCACCGGACGGGCCUUUCCGAACGAGGCAGGGCGCUCGGGCUCUCCAACCAAGCCCGGGGACGCGGCCCUGGACCCAGGAGCGCACGGCGCGUUUCCCCCGGCUCCCCCCGGCACACCCGACGACCACGAGGAAAAAAAGGCCCUGGCUGCAAGAAAACCCUUCCACAAGCAUCGGAUAUUGUUUCUCUGUUAUUUAUGAUAUCACCACACUACCACGAUGGAAUGCAAACUAAUAAAAGGUACUAUAAAUAUGAUUACACA
Canis lupus familiaris (dog) is the source of this 732-nucleotide long non-coding RNA. RefSeq lists it as uncharacterized. The transcript has 2 exons. The record is from RefSeq and is a predicted model, not a curated record. Lineage: Eukaryota; Metazoa; Chordata; Mammalia; Carnivora; Canidae.